RNAcentral lists this ribosomal RNA (253 nucleotides) under uncultured bacterium. RNAcentral's name for it is "partial 16S ribosomal RNA". It matches the Rfam family "Bacterial small subunit ribosomal RNA", at positions 524 to 776 of the family's 1533-position model. The record is from RNAcentral.
UACAGAGGUCUCGAGCGUUGUUCGGAUUCAUUGGGCGUAAAGGGUGCGUAGGUGGCUAGGUAAGUCGGAUGUGAAAUCCCGGGGCUCAACCCCGGAACUGCAUUCGAUACUGCCUGGCUAGAGUACUGGAGAGGAGAUUGGAAUUUACGGUGUAGCAGUGAAAUGCGUAGAUAUCGUAAGGAAGACCGGUGGCGAAGGCGGAUCUCUGGACAGUUACUGACACUGAGGCACGAAGGCCAGGGGAGCAAACGGG